This 291-nucleotide long non-coding RNA is filed under the name Olea europaea (common olive). RNAcentral's name for it is "long non-coding RNA (OEUR_LNC010425)". The record is from RNAcentral. Lineage: Eukaryota; Viridiplantae; Streptophyta; Magnoliopsida; Lamiales; Oleaceae.
UAGUCUCAUGAUGUUUGAUGCAUAUAGCUAUUGUUUGAAGUGCCUGUCUCCUUCCAAACAAUUGGCAUUUGUAUUACAAGCAAAAGGAAUUGGGAAAGCUUUUGGCGGUUAGCAUCACACAUCCAAAUUAGCCAGAGGUCGGGUUUCUGUCCUUCUCAAGGCAUAAUAUUGAAAAUGCUCGAUAAAUAAGCAAUUUAAUUAGAGAGUCGGGAUCGAAAUGCAAUUCUUGUAAAGGUAAAAUACAUGUCAAAAUUAUCACAGAAUCAUCACUGUAAUGGUACAUUGUACAUU